Molecule: long non-coding RNA, 276 nt
Organism: Mercenaria mercenaria
Lineage: Eukaryota; Metazoa; Mollusca; Bivalvia; Venerida; Veneridae
Exons: 4
Source: RefSeq, a predicted model, not a curated record
GCUUCUAUAUGUCAGCAUUGUCCUGUACUCUCCAGCACUUGCGCUAGAAGCAGUUGCUGGAAUUCCGGUAUGGUUAUCUAUUGUAAUAAUAGGACUAAUAGGAACAGUUUACACAGCUAUUGGAGGAAUGAGAACCGUGGUCUGGACUGAUACAUUCCAGUUUGUUAUGAUGUAUGGUGGUCUGGCUGUGAUCCUUGUACUGAGUAUAAAAGAAAUAGGAAGCUUUUCAAAAGUUUUCGAUUUGUCAUGGAAAGGUGGUCGGAUUAAAUUUGAUGA